Molecule: ribosomal RNA, 488 nt
Filed under: uncultured eukaryote
Lineage: Eukaryota
Description: partial 16S rRNA
Rfam family: Bacterial small subunit ribosomal RNA
Source: RNAcentral
ACAUGCGCGAGCAUGACGGAGCAUACCGCGUGAGGGAUGACGGCCUGUGGGUUGUAAACCUCUUUUCUCAGGGAAGAAGUUCUGACGGUACUUGAAGAAUAAGCCUCGGCUAACUCCGUGCCCGCCGCCCCGGUUAUACCGGAGAAGCCAGCGUUUUCCGGAAUUACUGGGCCUAAAGCGUCUGUUGGUGGUUUGAUAAGUCUGCUGUUAAAAACUGGAGGUUAACCCCCAAAAAGCCAUGGAAACUGCUAAACUUGAAUGUGGUAGAGGUUAAGGGAAUUUCUAGUGGAACGGUGAAAUGGCUAAAAUUUAGGAAAAAAACCCAUGGGCAAAGGCCUUUUCUGGGCCAUUACUGACCCUUAAAAAACAAAGCUUAGGGAGCCAAAGGGAUUAAAUACCCCCGUAAUCAAAAUUUUAAAAAACCCCCAGUGGUCCAAGGGGGUUCAUACCCCCCCUUUUCCAACGGAUUUUAUACCCCCCUUGGGCAA